RNAcentral lists this ribosomal RNA (2140 nucleotides) under Escherichia coli. RNAcentral's name for it is "partial 23S ribosomal RNA". It matches the Rfam family "Bacterial large subunit ribosomal RNA", at positions 1 to 2157 of the family's 2925-position model. The record is from RNAcentral. Lineage: Bacteria; Pseudomonadati; Pseudomonadota; Gammaproteobacteria; Enterobacterales; Enterobacteriaceae.
GGGUUGUGAGGUUAAGCGACUAAGCGUACACGGUGGAUGCCCUGGCAGUCAGAGGCGAUGAAGGACGUGCUAAUCUGCGAUAAGCGUCGGUAAGGUGAUAUGAACCGUUAUAACCGGCGAUUUCCGAAUGGGGAAACCCAGUGUGUUUCGACACACUAUCAUUAACUGAAUCCAUAGGUUAAUGAGGCGAACCGGGGGAACUGAAACAUCUAAGUACCCCGAGGAAAAGAAAUCAACCGAGAUUCCCCCAGUAGCGGCGAGCGAACGGGGAGCAGCCCAGAGCCUGAAUCAGUGUGUGUGUUAGUGGAAGCGUCUGGAAAGGCGCGCGAUACAGGGUGACAGCCCCGUACACAAAAAUGCACAUGCUGUGAGCUCGAUGAGUAGGGCGGGACACGUGGUAUCCUGUCUGAAUAUGGGGGGACCAUCCUCCAAGGCUAAAUACUCCUGACUGACCGAUAGUGAACCAGUACCGUGAGGGAAAGGCGAAAAGAACCCCGGCGAGGGGAGUGAAAAAGAACCUGAAACCGUGUACGUACAAGCAGUGGGAGCACGCUUAGGCGUGUGACUGCGUACCUUUUGUAUAAUGGGUCAGCGACUUAUAUUCUGUAGCAAGGUUAACCGAAUAGGGGAGCCGAAGGGAAACCGAGUCUUAACUGGGCGUUAAGUUGCAGGGUAUAGACCCGAAACCCGGUGAUCUAGCCAUGGGCAGGUUGAAGGUUGGGUAACACUAACUGGAGGACCGAACCGACUAAUGUUGAAAAAUUAGCGGAUGACUUGUGGCUGGGGGUGAAAGGCCAAUCAAACCGGGAGAUAGCUGGUUCUCCCCGAAAGCUAUUUAGGUAGCGCCUCGUGAAUUCAUCUCCGGGGGUAGAGCACUGUUUCGGCAAGGGGGUCAUCCCGACUUACCAACCCGAUGCAAACUGCGAAUACCGGAGAAUGUUAUCACGGGAGACACACGGCGGGUGCUAACGUCCGUCGUGAAGAGGGAAACAACCCAGACCGCCAGCUAAGGUCCCAAAGUCAUGGUUAAGUGGGAAACGAUGUGGGAAGGCCCAGACAGCCAGGAUGUUGGCUUAGAAGCAGCCAUCAUUUAAAGAAAGCGUAAUAGCUCACUGGUCGAGUCGGCCUGCGCGGAAGAUGUAACGGGGCUAAACCAUGCACCGAAGCUGCGGCAGCGACGCUUAUGCGUUGUUGGGUAGGGGAGCGUUCUGUAAGCCUGCGAAGGUGUGCUGUGAGGCAUGCUGGAGGUAUCAGAAGUGCGAAUGCUGACAUAAGUAACGAUAAAGCGGGUGAAAAGCCCGCUCGCCGGAAGACCAAGGGUUCCUGUCCAACGUUAAUCGGGGCAGGGUGAGUCGACCCCUAAGGCGAGGCCGAAAGGCGUAGUCGAUGGGAAACAGGUUAAUAUUCCUGUACUUGGUGUUACUGCGAAGGGGGGACGGAGAAGGCUAUGUUGGCCGGGCGACGGUUGUCCCGGUUUAAGCGUGUAGGCUGGUUUUCCAGGCAAAUCCGGAAAAUCAAGGCUGAGGCGUGAUGACGAGGCACUACGGUGCUGAAGCAACAAAUGCCCUGCUUCCAGGAAAAGCCUCUAAGCAUCAGGUAACAUCAAAUCGUACCCCAAACCGACACAGGUGGUCAGGUAGAGAAUACCAAGGCGCUUGAGAGAACUCGGGUGAAGGAACUAGGCAAAAUGGUGCCGUAACUUCGGGAGAAGGCACGCUGAUAUGUAGGUGAAGUCCCUCGCGGAUGGAGCUGAAAUCAGUCGAAGAUACCAGCUGGCUGCAACUGUUUAUUAAAAACACAGCACUGUGCAAACACGAAAGUGGACGUAUACGGUGUGACGCCUGCCCGGUGCCGGAAGGUUAAUUGAUGGGGUUAGCGCAAGCGAAGCUCUUGAUCGAAGCCCCGGUAAACGGCGGCCGUAACUAUAACGGUCCUAAGGUAGCGAAAUUCCUUGUCGGGUAAGUUCCGACCUGCACGAAUGGCGUAAUGAUGGCCAGGCUGUCUCCACCCGAGACUCAGUGAAAUUGAACUCGCUGUGAAGAUGCAGUGUACCCGCGGCAAGACGGAAAGACCCCGUGAACCUUUACUAUAGCUUGACACUGAACAUUGAGCCUUGAUGUGUAGGAUAGGUGGGAGGCUU